Molecule: ribosomal RNA, 329 nt
Filed under: uncultured soil bacterium
Lineage: Bacteria
Description: bacterial SSU rRNA
Rfam family: Bacterial small subunit ribosomal RNA
Source: RNAcentral
AGAACGAACGCUGGCGGCAUGCUUAACACAUGCAAGUCGAACGAGACCUUCGGGUCUAGUGGCGCACGGGUGCGUAACGCGUGGGAAUCUGCCCUUUGCUACGGAAUAACUCAGAGAAAUUUGUGCUAAUACCGUAUGAUGUCGAAAAGACCAAAGAUUUAUCGGACAAAGGAUGACGCCCGACGUAAGAUUAGUCUUGUUGGUAGAAGUAAAGGCUACACCAAGGCGACGUAUUCUUUAGCUGGUCUAGAGAGGAUGAUCAGCCACACGUGGGACUGACGACACCGGCCAGACUCCGACGGAGCAGCGAGGUAGGGAAUAGUAGGAAC